Molecule: long non-coding RNA, 801 nt
Filed under: Lupinus mutabilis
Lineage: Eukaryota; Viridiplantae; Streptophyta; Magnoliopsida; Fabales; Fabaceae
Description: partial ncRNA
Source: RNAcentral
UGUGAAUGUGAGCAUGGAAGCAAAGCCUCUUAGAAGUGUUCCCUCUUCACACAACAACAUCUAUGGGGAAGGAAGUGGACCCUAUAAGAAGAAGAAAAGUGUUGUUUUUGUUGCUAUUCACACUGAAACAAAACCAGAAGCAAUAAUAAGUAACAACACUCCGAUCCAAACACCAAGUUAUUACCACAAGUUCUGUCUUUGUACUGAGCCUCAAAGGGAGAGAAGACUGCGACGUACAUUUACCUUCCUCAUACCCGAUACUAAGUCGAUGUCUCGUGCACUAGGUCACCCUUUAUAUAAAUAUCAUGAUUUGGGUUUCUAAUCUUGCCAUGUAUUUAUAAUGUGAUAUCUAUAUUAGGAGGUAAAGUCUUUAAAGUUGAAUGUGAAAAAUAUUUAUACUAAUUGCAAGGUAAUGGGUCCAUACAUGGUCUUUUGAAUGAGAUUUGGGUGUGGGGUUUAUCAAAUAACUAGCUUUUGUGGUCAAUGGUAAGGUUAUUGUACUGUGACCCGGAAUCGAAAGUCAUGGGUUCAAAUCGUGGAAAAAGUCUGUCUGUUUAUGUGAGUUAUAUCGUGCAUAUUUACCCUCCUUAGACUCCAUUAGGUAGGGAGUAUGAGUCUCCUACACUAUGCCCUUUGGAUUGAGUUUUUGUUUAGUAGAGUAAUUUUCUUGUAGAUUUCAAUUUCAAUUAAUGUAAGAAACCAAUUUUGUGAUUUUGAUAUGUUAAAAAGAUAGGCUAAAUUUCAAGGCUUUUUGAUUCUAUAACUAUAUGUGACUUUUAUAAGGGAAGAUAAUGUUUUUAU